GGCCCUGUCCAGUGAUAUAAAUUCAACGGCCGCGGUAUAUUGACCGUGCAAAGGUAGCAUAAUCAUUAGUCUUUUAAUAGGGGGCUGGUAUGAAAGGUUAAACGAAACAUUAACUGUCUUAUUUAUAAAUAUUAAAAUUUAACUUUUAAGUCAAAAGGCUUAAAUUUUUUUGGAGGACGAGAAGACCCUAUAGAGCUUUACAUUAUAUUUUUUAAUAUUUCUUGGUUGAAUAUUUUGAUAUUAAUUUAUCUAUUGUUUUGUUGGGGUGACAAUAAAAUAUGAUUAACUUUUUAUAAAACUUACAUUUAUUUAUGAAUUUUUGAUCCAAUAUUAUUGAUCAUUAGAUUAAGUUACCUUAGGGAUAACAGCGUAAUCUUUCUUAGGAGUUCAAAUUUACAGAAAGGCUUGCGACCUCGAUGUUGGAUUAAGAUAAUAGUUAGGUGCAGUAGC
RNAcentral lists this ribosomal RNA (450 nucleotides) under Argia moesta. RNAcentral's name for it is "partial 16S ribosomal RNA". It matches the Rfam family "Archaeal large subunit ribosomal RNA", at positions 1946 to 2631 of the family's 2987-position model. Lineage: Eukaryota; Metazoa; Arthropoda; Insecta; Odonata; Coenagrionidae. The record is from RNAcentral.